This 107-nucleotide ribosomal RNA is filed under the name Pectobacterium carotovorum subsp. carotovorum. Lineage: Bacteria; Pseudomonadati; Pseudomonadota; Gammaproteobacteria; Enterobacterales; Pectobacteriaceae. The record is from RNAcentral.
GGCGAUAGCGCGGUGGUCCCACCUGACCCCAUGCCGAACUCAGAAGUGAAACGCCGUAGCGCCGAUGGUAGUGUGGGGCUUCCCCAUGUGAGAGUAGGGAACUGCCA